Molecule: ribosomal RNA, 126 nt
Filed under: Metabacillus litoralis
Lineage: Bacteria; Bacillati; Bacillota; Bacilli; Caryophanales; Bacillaceae
Description: Bacillus litoralis partial 16S ribosomal RNA
Rfam family: Bacterial small subunit ribosomal RNA
Source: RNAcentral
CUUUAUUGGAGAGUUUGAUCCUGGCUCAGGACGAACGCUGGCGGCGUGCCUAAUACAUGCAAGUCGAGCGAAUCAAUGGGAGCUUGCUCCCUGAGAUUAGCGGCGGACGGGUGAGUAACACGUGGG